UACGUAGGGGGCAAGCGUUGUCCGGAUUUAUUGGGCGUAAAGAGCGUGUAGGCGGUUUGGUAGGUCCGCUGUGAAACUCGAGCUCAACCUCGAGACGCCGGUGGAAACCAUCAGACUAGAGUCCGGAAGAGGAGAGUGGAAUUCCUGGAUGUAGCGGUGAAAUGCGCAGAUAUCAGGAAGAACACCCGUGGCUAAGGCGGCUCUCUAGUACGGUACUGACGCUGAGACGCGAAAGCGUGGGGAGCGAACAGG
RNAcentral lists this ribosomal RNA (252 nucleotides) under uncultured bacterium. RNAcentral describes it as "partial 16S ribosomal RNA". It matches the Rfam family "Bacterial small subunit ribosomal RNA", at positions 524 to 776 of the family's 1533-position model. The record is from RNAcentral.